Molecule: long non-coding RNA, 3502 nt
Organism: Oryzias javanicus (javanese ricefish)
Lineage: Eukaryota; Metazoa; Chordata; Actinopteri; Beloniformes; Adrianichthyidae
Source: Ensembl
AACAACAGGCACGGACGGGGUUCGAACCCGCGAUCUUCGGUUUACGAGACCGACGCCUUACCACUUGGCCACCGCGCCUGCCAUCGAAAUCCGUCGACAUUUUUGUAAUCGUACUGUAUACACAUUCCGGACAAUUAUUUAAGAUUUAUUAUGGUGUUCUGAGGAAUCCAAUGUUUGUACUAAGUGUUUUUACAUUUAAAAUUUGGAAGUUACUAGAUUACUCAGGAAAACUGGCAUUUUUCCGCUGAAAUAACGACUCACAUAAUUGUUGAAUUCCACAAUCAUUUAAUGCUUUGUUUGAUUUAUAUUAUUAUUAUUAUAAGUAUUGUUUUCUUUAUUUGCUAAACGGAUAAAUAUAUUUUUGCGGGUUUUUUUUCUCCAAAGAUUCGACACGAUGACGGAGAUGAGACCCGGAAGUAGAUGAAUCCCUGCGGCUUGGAUUACAGUCUUUUGGCCGGAACAUAAACUGCAAUUAUUUUAAAAAUGUGAUGACUGUCGCACGAGCGCAAGGACGCGCGUGAGAUGCUGGAGGGUUCGUGCUUUUAAAGCCUCUGUGGGAGCCAGGUCCCUUUACACGGGGUUUCCCGGAGUCUGUCUGCGAUGGCGAGCUGCUUGGAAGCAAAAGAACCUGCCACCACUCCCACAGAGCGGCCGUAGGGGGUCUGUGCAGCGUAGCCCCCGCUCUGCCUCAGCAUGCCGCUCGUGGUGGAUGCCGUGUGGGCGCUGUGGAGCAUUGGCGCCGGGGUCUACGACUACUUCCACACCAGCGCCAUGGAGGAGAGGAUACACACUCUGGAGAACGUCCUCUCCAUCCACCAGUUUGUCAUCGCAGGCCUGUCGGCCGGCCUCAUCCUGCUCAUGACCUACAUCCUCUGGAGGAAACACUGAAACCACACAUCAGUCUGAUCCUUCAGGAUCCAAAUGAUCCGAGAGGAGCCGACAGCUCCAGAGACCAGGAGCUUUGCUAACACUUCCAGAAAAGCGUCUGUUUUAAAUGUCAGACUUCAACCCAAACGGGGGUCACUCUGAAAAACUUUGAGACAUUUGUCUGGUGUGUUAACACAUGAAGCAAUGAUAACUGUUCUGAAGAACAAAACAAGAUUUCCAAACCACACAUGCAUCUCUGAAGAGAUAAAAGGAGUUUUCUUUUGCUCAUUUGAUGCUUUUUUUAAACAUAAUCGACAAAUAGGUGCUUAUAAUCUAAAAAAACUGGUUUAUUAUAAUUAAUGGUUUUUAUUUUCUUUAAAAACUGACACUAAAACAUGAGUUUUUACUAAAACCUAAUGGAUCAACAGCGAGAUACUAUGAAACGUUAAAAUCCAGUUUUCUAAUCCACAUUAAAACUACAAUUCCCAGAACCCCUCAGCGUCUCUAGUGUUACCAAAAGCCCCAAAUGUCUGCAGAAACUAGAAGGAGUUCAUUCAGUGGUGAGGGAGAUGCUCCGGUUUAGAACUGUCGUCUGGAGGACACGUUUGCAGCGCUGGUUGUCAGGAGGUUGGAUGUGUUGGAUGUGUUGGAUGCUGGAACAGCACAAGCAGAGCUUCUUUAUCAGGGUUUCAUCAGGUUUGCCAUAAUGUGUCAGAAUACUGAGAUAAGGACGUGGGAAAGAAGUUCAUCUGAAUUCUGCUUCUGUGUGGGUUAUCCAACCUGAACUAACACGCAAACAAAUGCUUUAAACACUGGAAGCAGCUCAUGCUGCGACUCGUUUAUUUAUUGUUCUGUUUAAAUGUUAGUCAGUGUCUACAUCUCUCGUGACGUUCUGCUGAACCUGAGUUUGUCAUUUCUUCAUGUUUGCCGAUGCAGAUCUGACUCUGAACUGUGGCUUCUAUUAAAGGGAAAAUUAUUUAACACAAUUCUGUGAUUUACUGAUGGGAGUUUGCAUUAAACAUUUAAGAAAUGUUAUAAUUGUAGCUAAAAAAAAGAGAGUAUCAGAGAAGUCAACAUUAAUAUUAAUACGGUGGGUGGUCAUUAAACGCAGAGUUAGUUUAAAAACCGAGAUCUCAACUCUAAGUUCAUUUGUAAUGUAUCACCAUGGAAGAAGCUGUUAUACUUUUAAUGAUUAAAAACUAUUUUUUUAGUAUGAUUAAGCAUUGGGGAAGUAUUCAGAAACAACUGUCUAAUUUAAAUAAAAAAUAAAAGUAACUUGCAGUUUAACAACAGGAGGUCAAAGAAAAUCAAUGUUCUUUUCCUGCUAAAGUUUAAGAAAUAAUUACUGCUUUUUGAAAAUAAUCAAGGGGUUGGUCGAGGUAAAAUAGGCGUGGUUUUUCUAAACCUUUUUUUUCUGAAAACCAUAAGAUGUAGUUUUAACCAUAAAUUGUAUUUUUUUUUUCAUUAUUGAUUGUACAUGAUAAAGCACGGCUCAAUUCUAAGUAAAUUAACAAAAAAUAAUUAGUAAUUGCAGCCAGAAUGAAUGAAUACAGAACAACAGAUAAUGUUAAAACAAAAAGAAUCACACAUUUAGAAGAGUAAGCUUUAUUACUAUUAAUAUUAUUAAUUAUACGUUUUAUCUUAAAUAACUUUUAACUUUAUUUUUUUAAAGUUACAUCUAUUUCUAUUAACACAUUACAAAAUAUUGUACUCUAUUUUUAUUUUGAAACGACCACGUGUUCCUACAUGGGCUUCCGCUGCAGUGGGCAAAACGGACCCCCCCCCCCCCCCCUCCUAUAUAAUAGGCAAGCCAAUCAGCGUUCAGAACUCACCUAUGACGCGUUGUAAUUGGCCCACGCUGUGAGAAGGCGGAAUCUUUCAAUAGCAGUCAUCACGCAAGCCGCUUCUGUGUGCUUUUAUAAAACUAUUGAAGAAGAAGUCAAAGAAGCGGAACUUAGACAGGCAAGUUCUUCAAAAUAAAGCCUGACUCAAUAAAAUGGAAAACAUGUAAAAGUCCAUCUAUAGUUAAUGUUCAACUUGUUUUCUUAAUUAAACGUCAUUUUCUAAUAUUUUAGAUCGCAUCAAAGCCGUACGUAACUUGAAAUUUAAGAUAAUUUUAGAAUUUACAACUUGAGAACUUUUAUUUUGAAAAUACCAACCAGAUGUGGACUGCUAAACUUGGCUAGUCCGUGUUGACUCUUAGCUACGCUGACGUUAGGUCAGAAAAAUCGUUGAUUUGAAUGAAUAAUUUCCGCAAACGCCGCUGGUCGUUUUAACAGGUAUAAUUUGACGCGCAGUCGCUGCAUUUAAGUGAGUUUUUUAUUCCGGCAGAUGUCGACCACGCUAGCGUGUGGCUACGGAAGUUAGCAUCCUGCUAGCUUAACGCGUCCGCUUGCCAGAGGCUCUUCUCUUGUUUCGCGCAUUUCGAGUUUGUUCACAGAAUUCUCAGCUGUGAACCCGGUUCUGCUGUUCUUUAAACGAACCCGUCGGGUUGUUGCUUCCGCCCUGACGGUCCGGUUCUGUCUGCGGGAUGGGGCAGUGAGCCGCGGCGGCCGGUUUGCCCUUUUGUUUUGACAAAGGAAGCUCGAUUAUUUUCGUCUCGUUUCCGAGUCUCCCCCAGCCUCUCUUCGGGGGU